GCCCUCGCGGUCUUAGCCGGCAGGCGGAAGCGGGCAUCCGCGCGCGCCGGUCUCGUGCUCGCCGCGGCUCCUCGGGCGCGGCAGCGUCAUGUCGGAGCAGCAGUUCGGGGGGGACUCGGCGGCCGGAGCGGGAGGCGGCUCGGCGGAGCAGGCGGAGCAGCAGGAGGGGAUGGCUGGGGCGGGCGGAGCGGAAGGGGGAGGCGGCGGCGGAGGAGGAGGCGGCGGUGGCGGCGGCGCCGAGUCGGAGGGCGCCAAGAUAGACGCGAGCAAGAACGAGGAGGAUGAAGGCAAUUCAAACUCCUCCCCAUGGCUUUCUGAAGCGGCAGCGCCACAGCGGGAAGAAUGGAAAAUGUUCAUUGGAGGCCUUAGCUGGGACACAACAAAGAAAGAUCUGAAGGACUACUUUUCCAAAUUUGGUGAAGUCGUAGACUGCACUCUGAAGUUAGAUCCUAUCACAGGGCGAUCAAGGGGUUUUGGCUUUGUACUUUUUAAAGAGUCUGAGAGUGUAGAUAAGGUCAUGGACCAAAAAGAACAUAAACUGAAUGGAAAAGUGAUUGAUCCAAAAAGAGCUAAAGCCAUGAAAACAAAAGAACCUGUUAAAAAGAUUUUUGUUGGUGGACUAUCUCCAGAUACGCCUGAGGAGAAAAUAAGGGAGUAUUUUGGAGGUUUUGGUGAGGUGGAAUCUAUAGAGCUUCCUAUGGACAACAAAACCAACAAAAGGCGUGGAUUCUGCUUUAUUACUUUCAAGGAUGAAGAACCAGUGAAGAAAAUAAUGGAAAAAAAAUACCACAACGUCGGUCUUAGUAAAUGUGAAAUAAAAGUAGCCAUGUCAAAGGAACAGUAUCAGCAGCAACAGCAAUGGGGAAGUAGAGGAGGAUUUGUUGGGAGAGCCCGUGGAAGAGGUGGUGGCCCCAGUCAAAACUGGAACCAGGGAUAUAGCAACUACUGGAAUCAGGGAUAUGGCAACUAUGGCUACAACAGCCCAGGGUACGGUGGCUAUGGAGGAUAUGACUACACUGGUUACAACAACUACUAUGGAUAUGGUGACUAUAGCAAUCAGCAGAGUGGUUAUGGGAAAGUAUCCCGGCGAGGUGGUCAUCAAAAUAGCUACAAACCAUACUAAAUUAUUCCAUUUGCAACUUAUCCCAAACAGCGGGAACUUCAUUGCAGGCCCUGUAUCGCGCUGACUUCACGAUUCUCACAGGCCCGCUCAAUGCGGACAGGGUACGAGAUGCUCACGCUCUCGAAUGCUGCCGUUUGGUGGAGAAGCAGUAUUUUCUCAUUUGAAGAUUCAUUUGAGGUGGCUCGUGCUACCUGCUAAUAGCAGUUCAAACUAAUUUUUUUGUAUCAAGUCCCUGAAUUGGAAGUAAGACGUUGGGUCCCUCCUGAAGUUUAAUUGAGUUCUCAUUAAAACAAUUGCUUUCAUUGUCUUAUUUCUUAAUUGCUAUGCUUAAGAAUCAAUUUGUUUUAUGCCCCUUCCUUGGUAUUGUAGAGCAAGUCUUGUGUUUAAAAGCCCAGUGUGACAGUGUCAUGAUGUAGUAGUGUCUUACUGGUUUUUUAAUAAAUCUUUUUGUAUAAAUGUGUAGUGGCUUUUUAUCAAAAGAAUGGAGAUGUACUAAUACAAGUUAUGAAAUUUUAGCGUGGAGUCAGUAUAGCAGUGGGUAACUUUAAUACAACAUGCAUUAAAGCAGAAGCAGCAGUAACCAAACAUUAAAUUUAUAAAUGGGACAAAUCACUCGUAUCCAUUUAGUUAGUAUAAAUGUUUCUUGGAAUGAAGUGUUCUGUAUUUCUAAAAUCUGAAAUCUGAAGUUGAGAAACAUUGGUGAACUCCUGUUUGUUAAACUAUGAUGUUGUAGCUACAAGUGGGUACUAAUACAAGGCCAAUAUUGGUCAUUCUAAAAAUACCUUUGGAACAGUGGACAAGAACCAAAUGAGAUGGAUUUCAAGCAGAGAGUAAGUUCUGUAGCUAAAAAUGUAGUCAGCAGUUGACUGUAGACGCACAGGUGGUGUCAGUAUACUGCAGGUGGCUUGUCAGCAAAGAUACCAUUUGGUACAAGUCUCAAGCAGUUUUCUGUAGCCAGGGCCAAUGCUGUUGCACUGUAUAAUUCAAAAUAUAAGAGUUUAUCUUCAGCAGCUGCUGUACUUAAAUUCUUGAUCUACUGUUAAACUGUUGUAAAUAAUGGAUACGUCAAGCCGCUGAAAUUAUGUUAGGUGGGAGUAACUUAGGGUAAUCUUUUUAUCCCUGUAUUUGUGUUCUGUGCAGCAAACCGAGCAGGCGCAGCAGUAUCCUAUUGAAGAAAGUAGUGUGGUCAUUGUGCAGUACUAGCUGCUGAUUCACUGAAUCGUAUGUAAAUACAAACAUUUUUAAACAGGAAGCACAAGUUUAAAUUUCUUAUAGCAACUGUAACUCAUGCAUGUUGCACACUUUAUAUAUAAAGAUAGUAAUACGGACAAGCUGUGACUAUGAACUUGAACUUGCCAAUUUUGUCUUUAAAUUGGCAACCAUAAUUUUGCACUCGGAUAGUUGUUAAUAAGGUGAUUGGGACUUCUGUGUAGCAAGAUAGGGAGUUAGAGUGUGUGCAAUACACCAUAAUACACUUCUUUAAAAUCAUUCUUGUGCAUUAACUGUUUUGCUCUCCAUCUGCAUGAACCUUGACUUACAAGUCAGCUCUUCUCAAAGGAGCUCAGUAUUGUUUCAUGCUCAAUGAAACUUGAAGUUAAAAGAAACUGUAUAAGAUGCAUGUGUAAAUCCAAAUUUAACUGCUUACGCAACUUAAAAAAAAAUAAAUCAGACUUUAGUGAACUAACCUGAUAGUGCUCAGGUCACAUGUAGAGUCUGGCAUUGAAGUUCAUGCAUUUGGGUUAUGAUGAUACUACGCCCUAUGUAAGACAUGCCUCACUCAAGUUGCUGAGCCAAUUUUGAAUUCCUCACGAAGCUCCUUUUAGCUGAAACCAAGUGUAGAGUUUUUUUCAACUGAAAAUUAGGUUGUUUCAAGAAUGAAAUUAAAAUUGGGUGAGGUUAAAGUUGCAGUCAUUGAUAUUUAACCUUGGUACCUUGGCAUGGUGUGGCACAAUAACUUUGACAGGGACACCAGGAGAGGUUAUAUGUACAGGAAGACAUGUGCAAAAGGUAUAGAGUAAAUCAAAUCUGAUAACUUGGUGAAAGGGCUUGUCACCACAUAUGUUGCUUUAAAGCACUGGAUGGAAAACUAUGUACAUGCCACCGCUGUAACCUUUAACAUUACCUAUUUAACUUACUUUAAUAGUUGUUGCAGGGAGAGGGAGACAGUAAUACUUUUUUUAAUAUAUAAUCCUAAAAUGAUGUGUACUUGCUUUUUCCCUUACAAUGUAUCCGAGAAAAAUUAAUCUCUGCCUGUGAAGUCUGCCUAGAGUUGGUCAGAGCCAAUACUCAUAAGAAUUCUGAGCAGGCUGAAUCUCCACUGCUGAGUGGCAGCUUCCUUCUUGGCUUGGAAAUAGCUUAUGGCUUCAAAGUUCAGAAACUUUUUCUGGUUCUUUGUCAUCUCCUGUAUUACGGAUACAGGACUCAGACGUGCUUAGCUUGCUACAGACAAGAUGAGUUUUUGGGCUGAAGAAGUCUGUUUUACAGGACAACAUACAAAGAAAUGGGAGAGAGGAUGCUACACAAUGUGUGUUUAUAUUUCCUUUUAACUUAAAACUUAUGUCAGAACUAGCCUGUUGUGUGACCCUUGUCCACUCAGUUUGGUUUACUUUCGUCUCGUAUUUAGUAGCCCUUCUCCCACCUCUCAUUACAUUUUGGUUUUCAUCUAUUUCCCAAAUACAUUCCAAUACUCAAAUGUAACUUUUGUCCCUUACCUAGUGCCUUGUAUUCACUCGCCCAUCAAAUUGCACAAGGUUAUAUUGGUCAUUCACCCAGCUUUUCUUCCUCACCAUAAGCACUUCUUCCUCUACAUAUGCUGACAACUCAUUGAGGGUAGGUUCAAAUGGUGUCAGCAUUGUGCUGAUACACUUGCUGUGCCUGCCAUUUUUAUCUCGCUGUCCUGGGAGUUUCAGCCUGUGGCAUGGGAGGAAGAACCUUGCUAUAAGAAUGAGGUUAAGCAAUUCCACUGAGGCAGCAAAUGUCUUGAUAAGAAUCUCAUAGGAGCCAAGGAUUGUGUUGGAUAAUGCCUUCUGUUCCUCAGAGGGAAGCACCAAGAAACCAGGACUGUCACAGAAAUAUAAACAGAGGAAGACUGGGUCCCUUGGGAGUUCUACCCUUGUUAUCUUGUGUAGUUUGCUGGUCCUUAAAGAAUACCAGUAAUUCAGGAAGUACUCAAAGUGAUUUAACUUGUUUAAAGCAGACACUUAAUUUCUACUGGCAGAAGCUUGAUGUUGACGUUCCUGUAGUGUCUCUGGAAACCAUUUCUUAACUAUCCUGGAUUUGGAUUGUUACAUAGCCUUGUUUUCUGGCUUUGGAAAAGUACCUCUUAAGUUUAAGCAUUUCUUCUCCCUGUGUAUUCAUUUUAAGACUACCUGUUUUGGCUCUAGCAAUUUAAAGAAUCACUUUUCUCAAAAUUGUUGUGACCAAGUAUAAUUACAGUUGGCAAUUACUUUUCCUACUCCUGGUAGCCUUCUUGCUAAAGAGAUCACUAUUGGUAUCAUGCCAUUUGCUUUUAGUAACAUGGCUGCCAACAGCAGUAGUUGGUUUUUAAAUGUUACUUGUAAUUAUUUUAAAAUGCAUUUCAGAAAUAGAGGAUUAGUUUCAAUUUGAAGUGUUUUGAGUGGUUCAAUUAUUCUUAUACUUCUAAGUUUGAGACAUGGUAAUUUUUCUGACUGUAUAGUAAAUGUGGUUUUGUGUACAUAGUUCUUCCAAAAAUAAAGGUUUUCCUCCUAGGAAUCUUAAACU
RNA transcript from Gopherus evgoodei (Goodes thornscrub tortoise), 4864 nucleotides. It is a transcript of the gene named heterogeneous nuclear ribonucleoprotein D, with no coding region annotated. The transcript has 10 exons. The record is from RefSeq and is a predicted model, not a curated record. Lineage: Eukaryota; Metazoa; Chordata; Testudines; Testudinidae.